RNAcentral lists this ribosomal RNA (763 nucleotides) under Cryptococcus sp. JYC1025. Its description in RNAcentral is "eukaryotic LSU rRNA". The stretch from base 139 to 763 matches the Rfam family "Eukaryotic large subunit ribosomal RNA", at positions 1 to 612 of the family's 3401-position model. The record is from RNAcentral. Lineage: Eukaryota; Fungi; Basidiomycota; Tremellomycetes; Tremellales; Cryptococcaceae.
CAUGGGCGUCUGCCGGUUAAACGGCUCGCCUCAAAUGACUUAGUGGAUCUCUCAGCAUCCGUGACAGACGUAAUAAGUUUCGUCUUGUCCCUUGCAGAUGAGUCCGCUCACAACCUGCCAUCGCGCACUUUUAGACUCUGACCUCAAAUCAGGUAGGACUACCCGCUGAACUUAAGCAUAUCAAUAAGCGGAGGAAAAGAAACUAACAAGGAUUCCCCUAGUAACGGCGAGUGAACCGGGAAGAGCUCAAAUUUGAAAUCUGGCGUCCUCAGGGCGUCCGAGUUGUAAUCUAUAGAGGCGUUUUCCGUGCCGGACCGUGUCCAAGUCCCUUGGAACAGGGUAUCAAAGAGGGUGACAAUCCCGUACUUGACACGACUACCGGUGCUCUGUGAUACGUCUUCUACGAGUCGAGUUGUUUGGGAAUGCAGCUCAAAAUGGGUGGUGAGUUCCAUCUAAAGCUAAAUAUUGGCGAGAGACCGAUAGCGAACAAGUACCGUGAGGGAAAGAUGAAAAGCACUUUGGAAAGAGAGUUAAACAGUACGUGAAAUUGUUGAAAGGGAAACGAUUGAAGUCAGUCGUGACCGAGAGGCUCAGCCGGCUCUGCCGGUGUAUUCCCCUCGGUCGGGUCAACAUCAGUUUUGUCCGGUGGAUAAGGGCGGCAGGAAUGUGGCACCCUCGGGUGUGUUAUAGCCUGCUGUCGCAUACACCGGGUGAGACUGAGGAACGCAGCUCGCCUUUAUGGCCGGGGUCCGCCCACGUACGA